GCCGCCUUAGCUCAGUUGGUUAGAGCGCCGGAUUGUGGAUCCGGAGGUCUCCCGUUCAAGCCGGGAAGGCGGUACCA
RNAcentral lists this transfer RNA (77 nucleotides) under Nioella sp. RNAcentral describes it as "tRNA-His". It matches the Rfam family "tRNA". Rfam says of the family: Transfer RNA (tRNA) molecules are approximately 80 nucleotides in length. Their secondary structure includes four short double-helical elements and three loops (D, anti-codon, and T loops). The record is from RNAcentral. Lineage: Bacteria; Pseudomonadati; Pseudomonadota; Alphaproteobacteria; Rhodobacterales; Paracoccaceae. RNAcentral also lists the same sequence under 1 other name.